RNAcentral lists this ribosomal RNA (841 nucleotides) under uncultured archaeon. RNAcentral describes it as "bacterial SSU rRNA". It matches the Rfam family "Archaeal small subunit ribosomal RNA", at positions 85 to 924 of the family's 1478-position model. The record is from RNAcentral.
ACUGCUCAGUAACACGUGGCCAAACUACCCUACAGACCGCGAUAACCUCGGGAAACUGAGGCCAAUAGCGGAUAUCACUCUCAGACUGGAGUGUCGAGAGUGAGAAACGUUCCGGCGCUGUAGGAUGUGGCUGCGGCCGAUUAGGUAGAUGGUGGGGUAACGGCCCACCAUGCCGAUAAUCGGUACAGGUUGUGAGAGCAAGAGCCUGGAGACGGUAUCUGAGACAAGAUACCGGGCCCUACGGGGCGCAGCAGGCGCGAAACCUUUACACUGCACGACAGUGCGAUAGGGGGACUCCGAGUGUGAGGGCAUAUAGCCCUCGCUUUUCUGUACCGUAAGGUGGUACAGGAACAAGGACUGGGCAAGACCGGUGCCAGCCGCCGCGGUAAUACCGGCAGUCCAAGUGAUGGCCGAUAUUAUUGGGCCUAAAGCGUCCGUAGCUUGCUGUGUAAGUCCAUUGGGAAAUCGACCAGCUCAACUGGUCGGCGUCCGGUGGAAACUACACAGCUUGGGGCCGAGAGACUCAACGGGUACGUCCGGGGUAGGAGUGAAAUCCUGUAAUCCUGGACGGACCACCAAUGGGGAAACCACGUUGAGAGACCGGACCCGACAGUGAGGGACGAAAGCCAGGGUCUCGAACCGGAUUANAUACCCGGGUAGUCCUGGCUGUAAACAAUGCUCGCUAGGUAUGUCACGCGCCAUGAGCACGUGAUGUGCCGUAGUGAAGACGAGAAGCGAGCCGCCUGGGAAGUACGUCUGCAGGGAUGAAACUUAAAGGAAUUGGCGGGGGAGCACCACAACCGGAGGAGCCUGCGGUUUUANUUGGACUCAACGCCCGGNA